This is a non-coding RNA of Chlorocebus sabaeus (green monkey), 8490 nucleotides long. Lineage: Eukaryota; Metazoa; Chordata; Mammalia; Primates; Cercopithecidae. The record is from RefSeq and is a predicted model, not a curated record.
CGAAGCUACAGUGAGCUGAAAUUGCACGAGUGCACUCCAGCCUGGGUGACAAAGUGAGACCCUGUUAUGAAAGAAAAAAGAAAAGAAAAGAAAAGAAAAAAAGGACAGGAGGCAGUGGCCAGAACAGCAUGUAAGUGGGAUAAUUCUUGGGUAAUGAAAAGGACUAGAAUGUAGGUGAUGGACUUUGGUGACAAAAUGCAAACUAUGCAUACAACAAGGAGAGUUAAUGUUCAGAAUAUGUGAAAAAACUUUCACAAUAACUCCAAGGAAAGACUUAGGUUUUCACUACAAAGAAAUGCUAAGUGCUGAGGUGACAGAUCUACUAAAUACCCUGAUUUGACUAUUGCUCAAUGCACACAUGUACAGAAACAUCACACUGUAUCCUACAAAUAUCCACAAUUAUCACAUAUCAAUUAAAAUAAAACUUCUAAAAUACGGAAAACUUCUUAAAAGUAAACAAACAAACAAAAAUCAGGAAAAGCAGAGGCCAUAGAAUUAAAUCAGGCCAUUUAAAUGGACAUUCAAGUCAGUCAGGAUGAACUCAAGUAUAAGACUUUAGGAGAAGUGUGAAAGUUUUCACUGAAAAUUUCCAAGAGAUCUGAAGGUGGCAGUGCCAGGGAACUAGCAGUGGGGGUGGGUAGCACAUGUUUCUAAGAGCAAGAGAUUUUCUAAUAGGAGGAGAGAAAUAAUGAUUCCCAAGGAAUUGGAAGGAGCAAAGAGACUCUAUAAACCACAUUCCCACCUGAAGUACUUUAAGUACUUUGGAGUUUGAGAGAAUGUGUAAUCUCUACUUGACAUCCAAGGGAAGCAAUGCCCUCAAGGGAAAUCCAGGUUACAGUUACAGCCAGGAGAUGCAAGGAACUGUCAAAGAUAGAGCAGCCAAAGGAAAUGAGGACAUUGGCUUGUCAUACAGCUGGACUUCCAGAGACGACAACUGAAUGUUUUGUGCAGUGUAGGAGGAAAUGGGUGCUGGACCAAGGGAGAGAAUUCAGAAUAUAGUGGUAAGAGUGCAGGAGAGAAUGGGAGAACAAAGGGGCUUAGGGUUUGGAUAGUCAUCACAGAAACCAGGAAUGUUCAGCAGAGAGGGUUGCUGCAUCAGACAAAAGAAUGGAGAAGUGUGCAGGGGCCUUCUUAGCCAUCCCACAUGGAAUCAGAUAACUCAGCAAGAAAGUCUAAAUCUAGUUAUUACGUGUCCAGGAGUGGGCAGUCCUCCUGCCAGCACUGGCCCUAUGUUUAUGGUUCCCGUUAAGAGAACAGGGGCACAGGGACCAAGACGUUACUACAGAAAGUCAAGUUAUGCUCUGAAGCGCCCCCUGCCGGACCCUGUCCAGAGAGACAGGAGCAGUUGAGGCCGCUGGUCAGCACUCUGGGCUAUUUUGUGCUCCCUCCCACCUGCCCCUCCUUUUGGCCCAAGUUCUAGCCCCACUUGCUUUGUUACCCCCUCCUAUGGCAGCUUCCUCUCUGGUCUUCAGUGUCCUCAUUGAUACAGUGAACAUAGCAUCUCUCCUCUAAUCACAUAUAUUCAUACAGCGAUAUAAAUGAUGUGAAAGUACUUUGAAAAAUGUAAGUGAAAGACUGGGGCACUGACUUCUUCCCAUUUUCCCAAGUCCUGCUUCAGAACCACUCUCCUAGGCCCCAAGCCCCUAACUCCUUCUUGGCCCUUUAAUCAAACUUUGCCUACUGAGGGGCCUAACUAUAUGGUAUCCCCAGAAUGGGGACUACUAUUACAGCCCCCAUUUCUUCUCUUUGCUAUUUGCCAUGAUACUCUUAAACCUAGAGACUGGGAUCCUCUCCCUAGACCAAAAGGGAGGGGCACAUAGGCAUCAUAAUGGGCAUUCAGACAUGGUAUGAUGCGAGGGGUGGGCAUGAGACAAAUGCUGGAGUACGUCUGGGCAACACCCCAGUUACUCAUUUGGACUCACUGGGGCAAGUGAUUAACUAGAAUUCUCAAUUAAGAAAUGACAAGAAGGCUCCCUCCAAUUUCUCAAUUUCCACCCCGCCCAAUACCCAGUUUGAUUCCGCACCCUCCUAAUCCAUCCCACCCCUGUAAUCCAACCCACUCUCCUAAGGCAACCCACUUACCCCCGCUUUUUCCUCAAUCUGCCAGGACUCUUUCUCCUCUCCAGAAGUAUGUAGAUUUUUCAGUUUUCUGCUCUCACUGUUAUCCCACUGUGGCUCAUGCCUGCCCUCCCCACUAACCUACCCUAAAACUCUUCCUGCCCUGCUCUUCUGCUGUUCAUCACAGACUAUCUAUUUGCCAAUGCCGUGGUCCCACAACUCUUUCUGGUAACUUCCCUAUCUAUGCCUCUAGCCCUCUUAGCCCUGCUUGCCAAAGCUGUGGUUCCAGAGCUCUUUCCUGUGCGUCCCCUAUCUAUCCACCUACUCCUCCUCCUAGCCCUGCUUGCCAAUGCUGUGGUCCUAGAUUUCCUUCCUGUCACUCCCCUGUCUAUCCCCCUACUCCUCAUCCUAGCCCUACUACUUCCCAAUACUCUAGUCCCAGAACUCUUUCCUGUGACUCCUCUAUCUACUCCUCUACUACUUCUUCUAGCUCUGUUUGCGAAUGCUGUGGGCUCUGAACUUUUUCCUGUCACUCCCCUAUCGAUCCCCCUACUCCUCCUUAUAGCCCUUCUUUCUAGAACUCAGCCUCCAGCCCUGCCACCUGCAACCAGACCUGGCGAUUCAAAGAUCUCAUCUUGGAGAUGUUUUUCCUGCUCCUGGAGCAGUUUUGGUGCAGUUCAGAAUGGCCAGAACCAUGGCUUCAGCAGCCUGACCUGGUGGACAAAGAGAAGCAAGACAAUGGCAAACCUGCAUUCCGCCUCAUCUGCUCCUUUCCUUCCCUGCCUGAUCAGCCAGAUGGCCUAAGCUUCUACAUUUGUCCCUGGCUUCUCCAUGGAACUCAGUCUGUAGCCACAGAACAAACCACAGGGCCAGAGACAGAGAAGGUAGAGGUGAAUGAGGAGUGGGAAGCACCUCAUCUGUUCUCAAGGAGGAGAAUGAUUGGCCAAGAUGAGAUUCAAUCAUAUGUCCAUUACCUCCUGGGUCAUCCACUUGGUGGUGAGUCCUUUCCAGGCCAUGUGCAAGGGCAGUUCCAAUAACCAGGCAGGAGCUGAGAAGCCCCAGGCAGGUGAGUUGACUGCUGGAAGCAGGCGGGGUGUGAAAUAAGACCCUGAGAAGUGGGAGCGGGGUGAGGUGGAUGGGCAAUAAAAACAAGAUCUACUCCAGAAGGGUGGUACCACAGGGACAGUUGCCUGGAGAUGGAAAAAGAUGUGGUUGCCUGGAGUGGGCAGAAGGCGCGGAGCCGGUAGGGAGCAAGAGGGCACCCAGAGUACUCCAGACCAGACCAAGCAGCAUGGAGGCGAUGGUGGGACACCCGAGGGGGCAGGCGAACCCAGAUGAGGUUCAUCAGGACCAGAUUUUGUGAGGUCUGUGUGACCAUAUCAAGCCAUGUGGAGACCAUGGUGGGACACCCAAGAGAGCAGGUGACGCCAGAUGAGGUUCAUUGGGACCACAUCUUGUGGGGACUGUGUGACCAUAUCAAGCCAUGUAGAGGCCACGGUGGGACACCCGAGGGAGCAGGCGACACCACAUGAGGUUCAUCAGGACUAGAUCUUGUGGGGACCGCAUGACAAGAUCAAGCCGUGUGGAAGCCACGGUGGGACACCUGAAGGAGCAGGCGACCCCAGAUGAGGUUCAUCAGAUCUUACGGGGACCACCUGACUAGAUCAAGCCAUGUGAAGUCCGUGGUGGGACACUCCAGGGAGCAGGCGAGCCCAGAGGAGGUUCAUCGGGACCAGAUCUUCUGGGGACCGCCUGACCAGAUCAAGCUGUGGGGAGGCCACAGGGGACACCUGAGGGAGCAGGUGACACCAGAUGAUGUUCAUCGGGACCAGAUCUUGUGGGGACUGCCUGACCAGAUCAAGUUGUGUGGAGACCACGGUGGGACACCCGAGAAACCAGGCGACCCCACAUGAGGUUCAUCAGAUCUUAUGGGGUCCGCCUGAGCAGACUAAGCCGUGUGGAGGCCACGGUGGGACACCGACGGAGCAGGCGAACCCAGAUGAAGUUCAUCAGAUAUUCUGGGGACUGCAUGAUCAUAUCAAGCUGUGUGGAAGCCACGGUGGGACACCCGAGGGUGCAGGUGACCCCACAUGAGGUUCAUCGGGGCCAGAUCUCGUGGGGACCGCCUGACGGGAUCAAUCCAUGUGAAGGCCACGGUGGGACACCCGAGGGAGCAGGCGAUCCCAGGUGAGGUUCAUCAGAUCUUGUGGGGACUGCCUGACUAUAUCAAGCCGUGUGGACGCCACGGUGGGACACCUGAGGGAGCAGGUGACCCCAGAUGAGGUUAGUUGAGACCAAAUCUUGUGGGGACAGCAUGACCAGAUCAAGCCGUGUGGAGUCCACAAUAGGACACCCAAGGGAGUAGGCGACCUCAGAUGAGGUUCGUUGGGACCAGAUCUUGUGUUUACCGCAUGAGCAGAUCAAGUCGUUUGGAGGCCACGGUGGGACACCCGAGGGAGCAGGCAACCCCAGAUGAGGUUAGUUGAGACCAAAUCUUGCGGGGACAGCAUGACCAGAUCACGCCGUGUGGAGGCCAUGGUGGGACACCCGAGGAAGCAGGCGACCCCAGAUGAGGUUCAUCCGAACCAGAUCUUGUGGGGACCGCCUGACCAGAUCAAGCCGUGUGGAGGCCAUGGUGGGACACCCGAGGGAGCAGGUGACCCCACGUGAGGUUCAUCACGUUGUGGGGACCACAUGACCGGAUCAAGCAGUGUGGAGUCCAUGGCAGGAAACCCGAGGGAGCAGGCAAUCCCAGAUGAAGUUCAUCAAGACCAGAUCUUGUGGGCCCUCCUGACCAGAUCACGCCGUGUGGAGGUCACGGUGGGACUCCCAAGGGAACAAGCAACCCCAGAUGAGGUUUGUCAGAUCUUGUGGGGUCCGCCUGAGCAGACCAAGCCAUGUGGAGGCCACGGUGGGACACCCGAGGGAGCAGGCGACCCCAGAUGAGGUUCAUCAGAUCUUAUAGGGACCGCAUGAGCAGAUCAAGAUGUGUGGAGUCCAUGGUGGGAAACCAGAGGGAGCAGGCGACCCCAGAUGAGGUUUAUCAGAUUUUGUGGGGACCGCCUGACCAUACCAAGCCAUGUGGAGGCCACGGUGGGACACCCGAGGCAGCAGGCGACCCAGAUGAAGUUCAUCAAGACCAGAUCUUGUGGGGACUGCAUGACCACAUCAAGUCGUGUGGAGGCCACGGUGGGACACCUGAGGGAGCAGGUGACCCCACAUGAGGUUCAUCAGAUCUUGUAGGGACCGCAUGAGCAGAUCAAGCUGUGUGGAGACCAUGGUGGGCCACCCGAGGGAGCAGGCGACCCCAGAUGAGGUUUGUUGAGACCAGAUCUUGUGGGGACAGCAUGAUCAGAUCACACCAUGUGGAGGCCACGGUGGGACACCUGAGGGAGCAGGCGACCCCAAAUGAAGUUCAUCAGGACCAGAUCUUGUGGGAACCGCCUGACCAGAUCACACCGUGUGGAGACCACAGUGGGACACCCGAGGGAGCAGGCGACCCCAGAUGAGGUUCAUCCGAAACAGAUCUUGUGGGGACCACCUGACCAGAUCAAUGGGUGUGGAGACCACGGUGGGACACUUGAGGGAGGAGGCGACCCCAGUUCAGGUUCGUCAGAUCUUGUGGGGACCACAUGAACAGAUCAAGCUCUUUGGAGGCCAAGGUAGGACACCCAAGGAAGCAGGUGACCCCAGAUGAGGUUCAUCAGGACCAAUCUUGUGGGGACUGCCUGACCAGAUCAAUGGGUGUGGAGACCACGGUGGGGCACCCAAGGGAGCAGGUGACCCCACAUGGGGUUCAUCAGGUGUUGUGGGGACUGCGUGACCAGAUCAAGCAGUGUGGAGUCCAUGGUAGGAAAUCCGAGGGAGGAGGCGAUCCCAGAUGAAGUUCAUCAGGACCCGAACUUCUGGGGUCCGCCUGAGCAGACCAAGCAUGUGGAGGCCACGAUGGGACACCCGAUGGAGCAGGCGACCCCAGAUGAGGUUCAUCAGAUCUUCUGGGGACCGCAGGAGCAGAUCAAGAUGUGUGGAGUCCAUGGCGGGACACCCGAGGUAGCAGGCGACCCCAGAUAUGGUUCGUCGGGACCAGAACUUGUGAGGACUGCGUGACCACAUCAAGCCAUGUGGAGGCUAUGGUGGGAUACCCGAGGCAGCAGAUGACCCCACAUGAGGUUCAUCAGAUCUUGUGGGGACCGCAUGAGCAGAUCAAGAUGUGUGGAGGCCAUAGUGGGCCACCCGAGGGAGCAGGCGACCCCAGAUGAUGUUUGUUGAGACCAGAUCUUGUGGGGACAGCAUGACCAGAUCAAGCCGUGUGGAGUCCACGGUAGGACACCCGAGGGAGUAGGUGACCCCACAUGAGGUUCAUUGGGACUAGAUCUUGUGGGGACAGCAUGACCAGAUCACGCCGUGUGGAGGCCAUGGUGGGACACCCAAGGGAGCAGGCGACCCCAGAUGAGGUUCAUCUGAACCAGAUCUUGGGGGGACCGCCUGACCAGAUCAAGCUGUGUGGAGGCCACGGUGGGACACCCGACGAAGCAGGUGACCCUACAUGAGACUCAUCAGAUCUUGUGGGCACUGCGUGACCAGAUCAAGCCGUGUGGAGGCCACAGUGGGACACCCGAUGGAACAGGAGACCCCAAAUGAGGUUCAUCAGAUCUUGUGGGGACCGCCUGACCAGAUCAAUGGGUGUGGAGGCCACGGUGGGGCACCCAAGGGAGCAGGUGAUCCCAGAUGAGGUUCAUCAGGACCAGAUCUUGUGGGAACUGCCUGACCAGAUCAAUGGGUGUGGAGGCCACGGUGGAGCACCCAAGGGAGCAGGUGAUCCCAGAUGAGGUUCAUCAGGACCAGAUCUUGUGGGAACUGCCUGACCAGAUCAAUGGGUGUGGAGGCCACGGUGGAGCACCCAAGGGAGCAGGUGAUCCCAGAUGAGGUUCAUCAGGACCAGAUCUUGUGGGGACCGCCUGACCAGAUCAUGCCAUGUGGAGGCCACAGUGGGACACCUAAGGGAACAAGCGACCCCAGACGAGGUUCGUCAGAUCUUAUGGGGUCCGCCUGAGCAGACCAAGUGUGUGGAGGCCACGAUGGGACACCCGAUGGAGCAGGCAACCCCAGAUGAGGUUCAUCAGAUCUUGUGGGGACCGCAUGAUCAGAUCAAGCUGCGUGGAGGCCAAAGUAGUACACCCGAGGGAGCAGGCAACCCCAGAUGAGGUUCAUCAGAUCUUGCAGACACCGCUUGGGCAGAUCAAGCUGUGUGGAGGCCAUGGUGGGCCACCCGAAGACCCCAGAUGAGGUUUGUUGAGAUCAGAUCUUGUGGGGACAGCGUGACCAGAUCAAGCUGUGUGGAGUCCACGGUGGGACACCCGAGGGAGCAGGCGACCCCAGAUGAGGUUCAUCUGGACCAGAUCUUGUGGGGACCGCCUGACCAGAUCAAGCCGUGUGGAGGCCACGGUGGGACACCCGAAGGAACAAGCAAUCCCUGAUGAGGUUCGUCAGAUCUUGUGGGGGUCAGCCUGAGCAGACCACUCCGUGUGGAGGCCACAGUGGGACACCCGAGGGAGCAGGCGACCCCAGAUGAGGUUCACAGGACCAGAUCUUGUGGGGGCUGCGUGACCAUAUCAAGCCACGUGGAGGCCACGGUGGGACACCCGAAGGAGCAGGCGACCCCACAUUAGGUUCGUCAGAUCUUGUGGGGACCGCAUGAGCCGAUCAAGCCGUGUAGAGGCUACGGUGGGACAGCCGAGGGAGCAGGCAACCCCAGAUGAGGUUCGUCAGAUCUUGUGUGGACUGCAUGACCAGAUCAAGCUGUGUGGAGGCCAGGGUGGGACAUCCGACGGAGCAGGCAACCCCAGAUGAGUUUUAUCAUAUCUUGUGAGGACUGCGUGACCAGAUCAAGCCUUUUGCGGUCCACGGCGGGAUACCUGAGGGAGCAGGCAACCCCAGAUGAGGUUCAUCAGAUCUUGUGGGGACUGUGUGAGCAGAUCAAGCCAUGUGGAGGCCACAGCGGGACACCCGAGGGAGCAGGUGACCCUAGAUGGGGUUCGUCAGGAGCAGAUCUUGUGGGAACUGCACUUCAGUUAUGAACCUACAAACUCUAUACGCAGCAUCACAUGUAUGCCCUCUGCAAGGGUGAUGGGCCUGGUAGGAUGGAGGAAAGGCCAGAACGGGGAGUACUCCCAUGGAAAAAAGGGGCGAGUCCUGGUGGCUGUGGAAUGAAGGGUGUGGGUCCCAGUGAAGGAACAGAUGCCUUCUCACACCCCACCUCCUUUCAUAGAUGUUAGGAGCGACAUCUCUGGAAGACGCCUCGCCUACAUCACAUCAGAUGUAUUAAAUACACUAAAAUGCAUCCACAUCCCAUGAAACAUUUUCACUGUGGAGAUGAGAGACUGAACACCUUUUUCUAAUUUUGCUUUUGAAAUAUAUUUUGCAGGAUUGUUA